RNAcentral lists this ribosomal RNA (253 nucleotides) under uncultured bacterium. Its description in RNAcentral is "partial 16S ribosomal RNA". It matches the Rfam family "Bacterial small subunit ribosomal RNA", at positions 524 to 776 of the family's 1533-position model. The record is from RNAcentral.
UACGGGGGGAGCAAGCGUUGUUCGGAUUUACUGGGCGUAAAGCGCGCGUAGGCGGCUUUUCAAGUCGAUUGUGAAAUCCCCGGGCUUAACCUGGGAACUGCGCUUGUUACUGGCAGGCUUGAGUGUGGCAGAGGGGGGUGGAAUUCCACGUGUAGCAGUGAAAUGCGUAGAGAUGUGGAGGAACACCGAUGGCGAAGGCAGCCCCCUGGGCUAACACUGACGCUCAUGCACGAAAGCGUGGGGAGCAAACAGG